This is a long non-coding RNA of Tetranychus urticae (two-spotted spider mite), 2261 nucleotides long. RefSeq lists it as uncharacterized. The record is from RefSeq and is a predicted model, not a curated record. NCBI's taxonomy places the organism in Eukaryota, Metazoa, Arthropoda, Arachnida, Trombidiformes, Tetranychidae.
GAUAAUGAUGAUAGGAUGAUUAUGAUAGGAUGAAGUAAUUUUUCUCUCCUCUAAAGUCAAUUGACUUUGUUAACAGAAACAAGAAGAGAGAGAGAGAAAAAAAAGUAAAAUAAAAACCAACUUUUCUUCUUCUUCUCAUCUUUAACAUCCUCUUUUCCUGGCUUAUUGUUUAUUGCUUAUUCCAAUAAAUAUUCAUGGUAAGUUGAGGGAGAAUGAUGAAGAUGGAGAAGAGAGAGAAAGUGUAAUUGUUUUACUCACUUGGAGGCCUUGCAAUAAGGUUGAUGAGGAUGAGGAUGAAGAUGAAAGACGAUGGUAAAGGCGAACAAGAAGAAGAAGCAAAAAAAAGAUGUUUUCGUUGGCGUUUCCUGUCUGAGUUUUGAGUCUAUUUUUUACUCUUCUGUUCAGUCUUUUUCAACCUUUCAGCCUUUGCACAGUCAGUGCCAUGGACAGUGCAUGGGUCUGGUCUUUCCAAUGGUACAACAGUUAAUCGUUUUAAGGGUAAAACAAAUGUUUGCACUGACAACAAGUUAUUAUUCAACUUGUCUUGUGCAUCAUUUCAAUUAUACAUUUUGUAUUUACUAUUGACGAUCAUAAGACCAUAUCAAUCGACUUAAGUUUAACUUCAAGUUGACCGUAACUCACAGCCGGUAAUGUGUUAAAUGGCAGUCUGUUAAUUGUAAAGGCAAAAAUAAAUAAAUAUUUUUACUACAAGAAAUACGAUGAAAGUGAUGAAUCAAGGAUACAAGCUUUAAAUAAUUGGACUCAAUGAGCAUCCAGAUUUAUUGAAUUGCAUUUUCUGUGGUUGUUUGUGGUCAACAAGGCUCAUUACUUAACCUAAUAAAUGGCAAGUUUAAGCAAACUUUUGGCUUUCCUUGGUAAACAUUGCAAUCAUUUUUAAACUUCAACUGAAAGAAUGUAAAAUUUCCAACUUUUUUCAUUUUCCUUUUCAAGUUUUCCUCUGAAUUUUUCAAUGAAAAAAAUAGUUGAACAAAAGCACAAAAAGCUCUCUCAACGAUAACUGUAAAUAGACAUGAAAUGUUAGCAUUUUAUUUCAAAAUCAAUGAGUAACUUGUAAGUGGUUGGAUCAUCAUCUUUUUUCACUCAUCAACAGCUUAAUCAUGAUCGUUAAUUGUCAAAACACUUUGAUCAACUCGAUGAUUAUCAACACACAAGAACGGAAAACUGUCAACCCAAAAGUGUUUCAACUUUCCUUUCUGGUAACAUUGAUCCAGAAAUGAGGGAAAAGUGAAAAUUAAACUUAAAUCAUAAUCACAAUUAAAAUGAUCAACUUUUAAUUUUGUGAUUCUCAAGAGCCUCUCAGCACAAUCAGAUACAUUGGUACACAAGUUUGUCUUGAUUGUUCACCUUCUCAUUGUUUUACCAUCUUACCUCCCACUUUCACCCAACUUAUCAUUCAUUGAUCAACAAGCGAUUAUUCAACAUUUACCUUGUUUUUUCUUCUUCUUCAGAUUCAAUUGAUUUUCUAUUGUAAUGAAGAAGAAGAAAAAGUCUUACAAUGAUCAUCUUAAGAUUCAUAAGGAAUAACAAUGGCAACUUGAGAUUUAUCAUUAAAAAAAACAGGAGAAAACAAAAAACAACAAAUGCACCUUGAAAGGUGAUGAGACUGAUUAGUGUUUGAUGGGAAAAGUGUUUCAAUUACAUUGAGAAAUUGAUAUUCUGUUAUUAUGAUUGAGGAUCCAUUGAUUGUAAAUUAAAAUGUUUAAAGCUGACAGUUUUACAAUUCACCAAAUGUCCAAUAAAUCAUCAUUAAGAUUAAUCUUGUAAUAAUUAAUAUGGAAAGUUGGACAAACGAUGAAAAUGUUUCAACAAUAACAUUUAUCAUCUAAUCGUUUAUCAUCCCGUUAAAGGUCUGUUCACUUGAUCAUCUUUUGCCUUUCUUGGUCAGCCUUAAUUAAUCAAUCACUGGUAAUAAGGUGAAUGAUUGAGAGGCCUUUGAUGGAUUGUAUCAAUUUAAAUAUUAGAGUCGGCAAUUAAAUGGCCUCACAAAUGCCAUCAUCUUUUGCUCGUCUUUGCCACUAACAAGAUGAUGAUGUGAACCCAUCUUGCAAACCCGCAUCACCUACAAAUCAUCAAUUUUACAAUUAACUAUGUUAACUACAAUUAUCAAUGUUAUCAGUCAUGUUACGUCUUUUCCUUUUUUUUCAUGAUCAUUUUCACUUGAACCUUUAUCAAUGUUGCCAAAAAUGAACACAAAUCUUCUUCUCACGAAAUAAUAACAUUAAAGUAUCUUUUUCUCAUCA